GUGAAUGCGGGUGCUAUACAUGCAAGUCGAGCGCGGGAAGCGAGUGGAUCCCUUCGGGGUGAAGCUCGUGGAACGAGCGGCGGACGGGUGAGUAACACGUGGGCAACCUGCCUGUAAGAUCGGAAUAACCCCGGGAAACCGGGGCUAAUGCCGGGUAAUACUUUCUUUCGCAUGAAGGAAAGUUGAAAGAUGGCUUCUCGCUAUCACUUACAGAUGGGCCCGCGGCGCAUUAGCUAGUUGGUGAGGUAACGGCUCACCAAGGCGACGAUGCGUAGCCGACCUGAGAGGGUGAUCGGCCACACUGGGACUGAGACACGGCCCAGACUCCUACGGGAGGCAGCAGUAGGGAAUCUUCCGCAAUGGACGAAAGUCUGACGGAGCAACGCCGCGUGAACGAUGAAGGUCUUCGGAUCGUAAAGUUCUGUUGUUAGGGAAGAACAAGUACCGUGCGAAUAGAGCGGUACCUUGACGGUACCUAACGAGGAAGCCCCGGCUAACUACGUGCCAGCAGCCGCGGUAAUACGUAGGGGGCAAGCGUUGUCCGGAAUUAUUGGGCGUAAAGCGCGCGCAGGCGGUUCCUUAAGUCUGAUGUGAAAGCCCACGGCUCAACCGUGGAGGGUCAUUGGAAACUGGGGAACUUGAGGACAGAAGAGGAGAGUGGAAUUCCACGUGUAGCGGUGAAAUGCGUAGAUAUGUGGAGGAACACCAGUGGCGAAGGCGACUCUCUGGUCUGUUUCUGACGCUGAGGUGCGAAAGCGUGGGUAGCAAACAGGAUUAGAUACCCUGGUAGUCCACGCCGUAAACGAUGAGUGCUAGGUGUUAGGGGGCUUCCACCCCUUAGUGCUGAAGUUAACGCAUUAAGCACUCCGCCUGGGGAGUACGGCCGCAAGGCUGAAACUCAAAGGAAUUGACGGGGGCCCGCACAAGCGGUGGAGCAUGUGGUUUAAUUCGAAGCAACGCGAAGAACCUUACCAGGUCUUGACAUCCUUGGACAUCCUAGAGAUAGGACUUUCCCUUCGGGGACCAGUGACAGUGUGCAUGUGUCGUCAGCUCGUGUCGUGAGAUGUGGGUAGUCCCGCACGAGCGCACCCUAUCUAGUUGCAGCAUUCAGUUGGCACUCUAAGGUGACU
This 1130-nucleotide ribosomal RNA is filed under the name Bacillus sp. B-17. Its description in RNAcentral is "bacterial SSU rRNA". It matches the Rfam family "Bacterial small subunit ribosomal RNA", at positions 33 to 1150 of the family's 1533-position model. Lineage: Bacteria; Bacillati; Bacillota; Bacilli; Caryophanales; Bacillaceae. The record is from RNAcentral.